AGUUAUGUAAAAGACCCAGGAGUGCAGCUCGGAGGACUGAGGAGAUUAAAGUGAAGCUUUGAAGCUUUGAAGGAUGCAAACAACAUUUUUCGUGGAAUUCCAAGGUAUUUUUUUGCCCAAUCAGAAGACUAGUUCACUUGCCGUGUGAAGGCAACAGUGGAAUCUUCCCCCUGCCCAAGGAGCUUCUGCUCAAUAUAAGUUUUCAUAACGGGAGUAAUUUAAGACUUCACAACUUAUGUGACACGGAAGAAACAACUUUUGCCUAAAAUACAUAAGGGCCAAAUAUAACAAAAUAUUUGUCUUUUCCAUAAAAAUCUUUAAUAUGAUCGUCAUAUUGUAGUUUCUUUAAAGAAUGCUUGUAUUCUUCGGACCUACUAGGGUGAAUUAAAUGAAAAAAAUUUAAAACACUUAAUUAAGCCUGUCCUCUGGGUAUAAAUUGACCUUUACAUGUUUACCAGAGACACCAAUUUUUUAAAUAGGUGUUAAUGACUAGCCGCUGAUUUUGGUGAAACUGCCUAAACGUUUCUUAAGAUUGAGUCAUACCUGGAGUUCCCGUGGCGCAGUGGUUAACGAAUCCGACUAGGAACCAUGAGGUUGCGGGUUCGGUCCCUGCCCUUGCUUAGUGGGUUAAUGAUCCGGCGUUGCCGUGAGCUGCGGUGUAGGUUGCAGACGCGGCUCGGAUCCCGCGUUGCUGUGGCUCUGGCCUAGGCCGGUGGCUACAGCUCCGAUUCGACCCCUAGCCUGGGAACCCCCAUAUGCCGCAGGAGCGGCCCAAGAAAUAGCCAAAAAAAAAAAGAUUGAGUCAUACCUCGGCAGUAUGUAAGAAGAUGUGGUGCUGGGAUUUAGGAAGGCGCCUUGGCAAGGGUGGGGGGAGGUUGAACUUUGGUGACGUAUACCUAUCCUACAAGGCUGUUGUGAGAAUUACACACGAUAAUGUGGAUAAAAUGCCUGGAACAGAGUAAGUACUUAAUAAAUGUUAGUUCUUCAUCCUUUCAUGUUACUGAUGAUGGCCAAACACACAGUUCUUCCAGAACUUUUAUAUUAGGUCAUAUAAAUAUACAUUUUUAAGCAUUUGGCGAUCUAUCCUGAUUUUAGCAGUGUUAUUUUAUAUUGAUACUUAAGAAAAGCCCCAAUAACAUAUGUUGAAAGUGUAUAGUUUCUCAUUAAGUUAUAGGUUGAUGAUAAUUCAAAAAAUAAUGCAAAGGGUUUUGAAUUUCCUAGUGAAAUGAGACAAGGUUAAACGGUGUUCGAGAGUAGAAUAAUUACAUCAGAAUUCAACUUGCCCCAGUUUUAUUUGUGAAAUUUAAUUUAUCCCAUAAAGAUACUAAAUUGAUAAAGUAUUCUCGUAUUAGUAGAGUCCACUAAGAACAAAGUGGAGGCAUGGAGUCUGGACAUUAGAAAUGAAGGGUGUGCAGGCUGGUACAGCUUGUAGGAGUCAUGGAACUUGGAAGACAAGUUGAAAAGGACCCUGGAAACAUUUGGCUGUAGGCUGAGAAAUGCCUUUGAGAGAGUUAAAGCCGUAAUAAAUAUACCCAAGAUGUUUAAAGAAGAACCUUGUAAAAAGAAAGCAGCCACACUAGACUCCCAGCUGCUAUUCUUUCUGCCAUCCAGUUUAAGCCUCUGCAUGGUUUACAAGGUCUCCCUGUAGACAGUGGAGCAAAUAAUGUAACAGUGAGAGCUCCAGAGCAACUGUCAGGAUGAUUGUCACAGGUAAAGCAUUAAUAAGUAAGCAUAUACCUCCCCAAAGGAGAAAGAGGCUGGGUAGUGGCAGUGAGAGUUGGGGGGGGGGGGUUGGUGUUGAUAAUUGAGACCCAGAUGUCAUAUUUUAAAAUGUCCUACUUACCUUUUAAAGUUAUUAACAUGCAUAUAAUGUAGGAAAACUAACAUUUUGGAAAAUUUGGCAUCAGUGAUGAGACUAUAUUAAGACUUUGUAUGCAAGUUAUUGUGCAAAAUUUAAUUGUAACUGCAUGGUCCGUGCUCUCCAAGAGCUUACUGUUCAGAACAAUUGGUGGGUUUGGAGAUUUAGUUAAAUUGCUUACCUGUGAUACUGUUUUCCAUUACUUUUUAUUCAGUAAAUAUAUGUUGGAGACUUGUUAUGUGCCAGGCAUUUUCUUGCCACCAGAGGGAUACAGUGUUGAACAAAACAAAACAAAACCUUCCCUUAAGCUUAAAUUUUAUAGGAGGAAGAGAAAAAAAGACAAAUGACUUUUACUCUCAGCGAGAAGGGAAACAGUGGGUUUUGAGCAGAGGAGCGGCAUGAUUUGAUUUUGUUUUAUCAGUAUGACUCUGGCCUUCAGUUUUGAAAAUAGUGUGAGGUGAGGCAAGGAAGAAUCAGCUGGGAGGCUAUUGCCCUAAAAUCCACACGGUGAUGAUGGAGGCUCAGUUGGCAGAAGUGGUGGUGGAAGUAGGCAGAAUUAUGAUGUUUUUAAGAUAGAGCCAACUGGAUUUGCUGAUGGAUUAGCUAUGGGGUAUGAAGGAAAAAGAACAGUCAGAGAUGACUUGGAGAGUUAAAUCAUCAUUUAUGAAUACGGGGAAUCCUAUAGGAACAUCAGUCUUUUUUUUUUUAAGUUUUAUUGUAGUUGAUUUACAAUGUUGUGAUAAUUUCUGCUGUAUAACAGAGCGAUUUAGCUCUACAUGUACACAUUCAUUCUUUCCCAGAUUCUUUACCCAUACAGAUCAUCACAGAACAUUGGGCAGAGUUCCCUGUGCUACAUAGCAGGUCCCCACUGGAGGAGCAUCAGUCUUAGUGGGGAAGGUCAGGAGGUUGGCAUGGGGUGAUGUUGAGUGUGAAACAUCUAGUAAACAUCCAGGGGGAGAUGUAAAUCUGAAAAUAUGACCCUUGAGUUCAGAGAUGAGGUUUAGUCUCUUGUAGGUGGUUUAUGAAAUGAUGAGACCCAUUGAAAAAAAGUCUGAGGAGUAUCCACUGUGGUUCAGUGGUAACGAACCUGACUAGUAACCAUGAGGACAUGGGUUCGAUUCCUGACCUUACUCAGUGGGUUAAGGAUCCAGAGUUGCUGUAGCUGUGGUGUAGGCCAGCAGCUGCAGCUCUGGUUUGACCUCUAGCCUGGGAACUUCCAUAUGCUGCAGGUGCAGCCCUAAAAAAAAAAAAAA
Molecule: long non-coding RNA, 3111 nt
Filed under: Sus scrofa (pig)
Lineage: Eukaryota; Metazoa; Chordata; Mammalia; Artiodactyla; Suidae
Description: lncRNA (ENSSSCG00015056809.1)
Source: RNAcentral